This 402-nucleotide unclassified non-coding RNA is filed under the name rhizosphere metagenome. Its description in RNAcentral is "partial ribosomal RNA internal transcribed spacer region". The record is from RNAcentral.
GUAGGUGAACCUGCGGAAGGAUCAUUUCUGUUUCUCUAUGAUUAUGCUGAUGUGUUAUCUACCAUCUUCAUCAUUCAUAACUAAACACUAUUAAAAGUCAACCGUGUGCAAGUGUCCUUACUGAUUUGUGUAGGGAGAGGGAGUGAGGGUGUCUAAAAUUCAAUACAUAAAGGAUGAGUGUGUGUUGUGUUGUUGUGUGUUGCCCUAUUCUAGCAAUGGGGCAGCCUCCACACACACACUCGUCUGUUGUUUUUUUGUUCCACCUUCCAACCCCAACCUCACAGUCAGUUUUUUUUAAAACAAAAACCUUUGAUAAAACACAUCUAUACAUGUUGUCGAAAGACUAAUAUACAAAAAAUAUAACUAAGAAACACAGUUUUAACGGUGGAUCUCUUGGCUCGU